RNAcentral lists this ribosomal RNA (441 nucleotides) under uncultured bacterium. Its description in RNAcentral is "partial 16S ribosomal RNA". It matches the Rfam family "Bacterial small subunit ribosomal RNA", at positions 338 to 795 of the family's 1533-position model. The record is from RNAcentral.
CCUACGGGAGGCAGCAGUGGGGAAUAUUGCACAAUGGGGGAAACCCUGAUGCAGCGACGCCGCGUGAGUGAAGAAGUAUCUCGGUAUGUAAAGCUCUAUUAGCAGGGAAGAAGAAAGACGGUACCUGACUAAGAAGCCCCGGCUAACUACGUGCCAGCAGCCGCGGUAAUACGUAGGGGGCGAGCGUUAUCCGGAUUUACGGGGUGUAAAGGGAGCGUAGACGGGUGUGCAAGUCUGAAGUGAAAGUCCAGGGCUCAACCCUGGGAGUGCUUUGGAAACUGGGGAGCUAGAGGGCGGGAGAGGUAAGUGGAAUUCGUAGUGUAGCGGUGAAAUGCUUAGAUAUUAGGAAGAACACCAGUGGCGAAGGCGGCUUACUGGACAGUAACUGACGUUGAGGCUCGAAAGCGUGGGGAGCAAACAGGAUUAGAUACCCGAGUAGUC